GGGGAUUUAGCUCAGCGGUAGAGCGCUUGCCUAGCAAGCGCAAGGCCCUGGGUUCGAUCCCCUGCUCCG
Molecule: transfer RNA, 69 nt
Filed under: Rattus norvegicus (Norway rat)
Lineage: Eukaryota; Metazoa; Chordata; Mammalia; Rodentia; Muridae
Rfam family: tRNA
About the family: Transfer RNA (tRNA) molecules are approximately 80 nucleotides in length. Their secondary structure includes four short double-helical elements and three loops (D, anti-codon, and T loops). Further hydrogen bonds mediate the characteristic L-shaped molecular structure. tRNAs have two regions of fundamental functional importance: the anti-codon, which is responsible for specific mRNA codon recognition, and the 3' end, to which the tRNAs corresponding amino acid is attached (by aminoacyl-tRNA synthetases). tRNAs cope with the degeneracy of the genetic code in two manners: having more than one tRNA (with a specific anti-codon) for a particular amino acid; and 'wobble' base-pairing, i.e. permitting non-standard base-pairing at the 3rd anti-codon position.
Source: Rfam by way of RNAcentral